RNAcentral lists this ribosomal RNA (497 nucleotides) under uncultured bacterium. RNAcentral describes it as "partial 16S ribosomal RNA". It matches the Rfam family "Bacterial small subunit ribosomal RNA", at positions 30 to 523 of the family's 1533-position model. The record is from RNAcentral.
AUUGAACGCUGGCGGCAUGCUUUACACAUGCAAGUCGAACGGUAACAGGCCGCAAGGUGCUGACGAGUGGCGAACGGGUGAGUAAUGCAUCGGAACGUGCCCAGUCGUGGGGGAUAACGCAGCGAAAGCUGCGCUAAUACCGCAUACGAUCUCUGGAUGAAAGCGGGGGACCGAAACGCCUCGCGCGUUUGGAGCGCCCGAUGUCAGAUUAGGUAUUUGGGGGGGUAAAGGCUCACCAAGCCAACGAUCUGUAGCUGGUCUGAGAGGACGACCAGCCACACUGGGACUGAGACACGGCCCAGACUCCUACGGGAGGCAGCAGUGGGGAAUUUUGGACAAUGGGCGCAAGCCUGAUCCAGCAAUGCCGCGUGCAGGAAGAAGGCCUUCGGGUUGGAAACUGCUUUUGUACGGAACGAAACGGUCCUGGUUAAUACCCGGGCUAAUGACGGUACCGUAAGAAUAAGCACCGGCUAACUACGUGCCAGCAGCCGCGGUAA